Molecule: ribosomal RNA, 72 nt
Filed under: Anoxybacillus flavithermus
Lineage: Bacteria; Bacillati; Bacillota; Bacilli; Caryophanales; Anoxybacillaceae
Also listed under: 1 other name
Description: partial 16S ribosomal RNA
Rfam family: Bacterial small subunit ribosomal RNA
Source: RNAcentral
UCUAUGGAGAGUUUGAUCCUGGCUCAGGACGAACGCUGGCGGCGUGCCUAAUACAUGCAAGUCGAGCGGACG